CAGCAGCCGCGGUAAUACAGAGGAUGCAAGCGUUAAUCGGAAUUACUGGGCGUAAAGCGUGCGCAGGCGGUUAUAUAAGUCAGAUGUGAAAUCCCCGGGCUCAACCUGGGAACUGCAUUUGAGACUGUAUGGCUAGAGUGUGUCAGAGGGGGGUAGAAUUCCACGUGUAGCAGUAAAAUGCGUAGAUAUGUGGAGGAAUACCGAUGGCGAAGGCAGCCCCCUGGGAUAACACUGACGCUCAUGCACGAAAGCGUGGGGAGCAAACAGGAUUAGAUACCCCGGUAGUCCCUGUCUCUUAUAC
This 301-nucleotide ribosomal RNA is filed under the name uncultured bacterium. RNAcentral's name for it is "partial 16S ribosomal RNA". It matches the Rfam family "Bacterial small subunit ribosomal RNA", at positions 509 to 807 of the family's 1533-position model. The record is from RNAcentral.